Molecule: ribosomal RNA, 419 nt
Filed under: uncultured bacterium
Lineage: Bacteria
Description: bacterial SSU rRNA
Rfam family: Bacterial small subunit ribosomal RNA
Source: RNAcentral
AAGGAAUAUUGCUCAAUGGGAGAAAUCCUGAAGCAGCAACGCCGCGUGGAGGAUGAAGGGUCUAUGACUUGUAAACUCCUGUAAAGAAGGAAAAAAUUCCCAUUAGAUGGGAGAUGAUGGUACUUCUGGAGUAAGCCCCGGCUAACUACGUGCCAGCAGCCGCGGUAAUACGUAGGGGGCAAGCGUUGUCCGGAUUUACUGGGUGUAAAGGGUGCUCAGGCGGAUUUGUAAGUCAGAGGUGAAAUCUUACAGCUUAACUGUGAAACUGCCUUUGNUACUGCAAGCCUAGAGUAUGGAAGAGAGUGAUGGAAUAUCUGGUGUAGCAGUGAAAUGCGUAGAUAUCAGAUAGAACACCAAUGGCGAAGGCAGUCACUUGGUCCAUUACUGACGCUAAAGCACGAAAGCGUGGGUAGCAAACA